AAAAUGCUACUGAAUAAACAUUUUGCAUUUGGUUAUAUUAUUACUAACUAGAAUGUAAAAAAAAGAAAAGAAAAAAAACAACACAUGAAAAUAACCAACUGCUUUUAAGGCCCUGCCUUGUUCAGGGCCAAGCAUUAAUCAAUAACAAACAAGGCAGGCCAUAGAGAAAAAGGACGAUUGGCCUUUUGCAAAAAUGCUGAAUCACAGGUAUGAUUGAUAGGGUUUGUGGUUGUUUUAAUGCUCACCCUGGCUGCGCCUCACAGUUUUUAACCCUACAGCAGUACUGGUAUCAAAACAUUUUUUAUUAUUUUCUUUCUUUUUUUAAAUUUUUUUUUAAGUAAACUGAUAUUUAAAGAAAUUGGUUGAAUUCACGUCUCUUUCAUGACAUGCAAAUUAGGAAUAGUGUAUUCCUGAUUUUACAAUGGGAUGGAAAUCCAUUUGUCAAUUGGUAUUAUUUUCAGUAAGUGAACACUCACUAUAUAUUUGACCUUGUGCCAAGGGCACACUUUCAUUUUUUUAACACUAUUAGUCUGUUAACAGUGUAUAGCUGACUUUAGAGAUAAUGUAUAAAUAAGACUUAUAAACACACAUAAUUAUUAAUACACUAACAGAGAUAUUUACCUUAACAUUUUGUUGAAAUAAUUCUAUCAGGCCUAUACGAUGAAGAAACAGGAACGUUUUCAUUCCCAUCGUCGGAUCCUUUAACACUGGCUUUAAAGAGGGGGUUGGGUUGCAACGCCUAAAAGGAAGAAAACGACAAUAACCAUUUUUCUGCCUUCGUUUUUCGACAUAAUUCACCAUUUAACACACCAAUCUGCGCAGUCUCCAACGAGUGGAGCUGCUGGAAAUCUUGAGGCACUUUUAGAUAUUGCAAUAUGCAAACAAUCCCUCUCUUUCUCUUCCUGAAGACAGAAUGACAAGAGAAAUUCACUCGCUUGCACUUCAUCAUCAUUCAGAAGAAAGAAAAUGUCCUUUUUCUUUUCGAAGGUAAUAGUUUAUGCGACCUUAUUUGACAACAUGACUUGGGAAUUACUGUUUUUAACAGGUAACAUUAAAAUCAUAUUUAUGUUUAAAACUCAUUUUUAAAAAUUCAAGUAUUGUUUUCCUGUGGGGAUAAUUUUGAGGAUAAAAAGAGAUAUAAAGGUGUAAAAAAUCAUUAUUCUAGACACCUCUCGUUGCUGACCCAUGUCCAGAGCGACCUCAGAAAUAGCCUGUUGUUUAAUGGCUUCUCUGCUGUUCUCAUUUUCAACAUGGCGUCUUCACAAGUGGAAAAGAAAGGCUGCUGCGCCAUUUAUGGGCGAGGCUGUCGGUCGCUGUUUCAGCUGAUUCUGCCUUUAUACGUGGCAACCAUUACAAACACAAACUGACUAGAUGUGGUCAGAGGGGCUUGCUGUUUGAGAAGCGAGGAUAUUGCUCAAACUCGCAGUAAUAUCUCGUGCGCAACACGCGCCCUCGACGCUGCUGCGCAAGGCGCUGGAAACCCUGUGGCACAAAAGCACACAGCAGUAAUCUGAGAGCUUGGACGCAUGCCACGGGUCCGGGAUGUGAGUGACUGCACCCACCUAACCAUUUAAGGUCGGAGAAAGGCUCUCAAACACUGUGUGGCAUUUCAAUCAGCAAGUACAAAGGGAAUAUCCAGUCCUCUGUGCUCUCUCUCUCUCGUCCCCCUUUCAGAACAUUCGGUACAGUUUAUUCGCCAGCCAUUCAGAGGAUCAUUUGACGUGAUGCAUGCAGGAUUGCGCACUACUUAGCUUUCUCAGAUCAUCUGGUGAAUAUAUCACAGUGUUGCAACACAUACCGGUAUGUGGUAUGCAAAUUGUCGUGUUUUGCACAAUUUAUGGCUAUGCAAUUUUGUAUAUGUAUGUUAUUCCAUAUAUCUUAUAUGGAGAACGGACAGAUUUAUUACCCAAGCAUCUCAUCAUUGGAAUUUGGUCAUUGCCUCUUUGUUUUGUUUUUCUCUCUCUUUCCCCUUCUUUCUGUGCGUUUGGGGCGACGCCAGGUCCAAUUUAUCAACCAGAAUGGUAUUGCGCAAGGAAACGCACCAUCUGUCUUUCGCUUUUAGGAUUCACGCUUGUUAUUGCAUGCACACCAAUACGAUUUUGUCUUUCUGCCAUAGUCUAAAACAGGACUGGUGUCCGAAUAUGCCUGAAAAAAGGACCGAAGACGUGGUGACCACAUCGUUUCCUGCCGCCCAGGGCUGAAGUGGGUCAUGAGGCCAUUUUAUGGCACUCGUGUGUUUAAUUAGGAAAAUCCUCUUUAUCUUCGUAACCUGCGAACGCAAGCUGUUUCUAAGGGCUUAAAGAGAUCUCAGUCGACACCAGUUUAUAUAUUUUAGUUUAUUUGUUGUCGUUGUUGUUAGGUUACUCGAUAUGCAGACGCGUAAAGCUUCAUUUGUGCUCUGGACAGCUGGAUUGGAUCCUCGAUAAAUUUCGACAUUCAGCUUCGCCAUUUAAGCUAUUUGAGCUUUAAUUAGUCUAUAGGGCAUUCUUGAAAAGUUCAUUCUUAAGAUAGCUACUCUUGUUUAAAUUUUUUUUUUUUUUUUUUUUUUUUAAAUAUUUUAAUGUAAUAUAGAGGAUGUCUGAAAUUUAAAUUAAACAGGAUUUUUGAUGGCAGUAAUGUGUAAAUUUUCUUUUUAAUGUUCCUUUUUUUAAUCUGAAAUCUGAGGAAACACUGAACAGAAACGACGGUGCGCAAUUCUCAACGUGGACAAUUAUUUUAAUAACAUUUUACUUUUUUAACAUUUUCUUAUUUAGAAUUGUGAUAAAGAUGUAUUGUAAUAUCUAUAUUUAUACUGUGGUAAGUAUAUUUACAAAGAGAUGCUGCACUCACCUAAAUGUUUUUAUAUCGUAAUAAAUAUAACUUUGUUCUUACAUGCAUAUUUCGUCUUGUAUUUAUUGUUAAGAUGUUUAGUUAUAUUUCUAUUUUUUUCCUUAUCCUCAUAAUAAGCUGUUUCCUCGAAACGGAGUUGACGCUCUGUUUUAACACUCAUUUAGCCUACUUUUUAUUUAUUAUUUGGCUGUGUGUGAACUGAUAAAUGACGGAGCCCAAAGGCCCAUAUGGUGGAAACAGGCACAUCCGUGUAUCGCUGCUGUAGGCCGCUUUUGUCCUUCGUUAUUGGAUUAAUGCUUCUUGUUUGGUUACGUACCAUAAUGGCAAUCCAUAUAAAGUAUGCUGUGAUAACAUUUGGGCUUCGUAAUUAAUUAUAGUAGUUCCUCUUUCGUCGUGUUUGGAAAGUAAAUCUUCACAGUUGUGACGAGAGACAGUCAUAACAUGACGCCUCCUAUCUGUGAGGAAUGAGAGGAAAAAAAGCAACAACCUUUUCUAGUCUCUCAUUGGCUGCGAUACAUUAACAGUCACCCAUUGGCCAUUGGUAAAAUAAAUUAAGCAAUUAUGUGGUUAUACUCACUGGAGCCAUAAAGAAAAUAUUAAAGACAAUACAUUUUCAUUAAAAUGUCACUAUGAUUAAUUAAGUGCCAUCUGAAGAUCCAGUCAAGAUAAUUUAUAUAGUAGGCUAUUUAUACAUUUCAUAAACAAAGACAAAGUCCAUUUAAAAUCAUUUAAGAACACACACAUUAAGUAAAUUAAGAUAAAGUUUGUUUGUAAACAAAUGAAAAAUAAACAAGCAUAAAUGGCUAUUUAGAUCAUGAUUGCUUUGCAUUUUUAAAGUGUGAGUUUGAACUGAAUGCUCAUUUUGAAUUCUUAUUGUUAAUAUUGAAAUAAGUAUUUUUAAAUAAAAAGUACUAAUCAAUGCAUGUACUAUCCAUCAAUGUUUAUAGGCAGUUUUUUGUAAUGAGCAGGGUUUUAAUGUCUAUACAGACAUUAACAAAAACUCUAAACAUUAAAAUGAAAAAUAAAAACAACUUCAAAACAGUAGUCUAAAAAAACAAUAAUAGUGUCUCAGUAAUACUAAAACAACACGGCAUUGUAAAAAAGACUUGUUGGUUUAACUUAAAAAAGUAAGUCACCUGGUUGCCUUAAAAUUUUGAGUUCAUUGAAAUUAAAAAUUUGAGUUAAUACUAUGAAGGCGAUUGGUUUAAUCAACAGCGACUCAAAAUAUUAUGUUAUCUGAACCACAUUAAUUAAGUUGUUAAUAAUUAUUACAGUGGUAAUGGGUGUGUAAAUCAUUUUUAGUUAUGUAAUUGUUAUUAUUAAUGUAAAAUCACCAUAAUUAGUGCUGUCAAAUGAUUAAUCGCGAUUAAUUGCAUACAAAAUAAAAGUUUGUGUUUACAUAA
Megalobrama amblycephala (Wuchang bream) is the source of this 4232-nucleotide long non-coding RNA. RefSeq lists it as uncharacterized. The transcript has 2 exons. The record is from RefSeq and is a predicted model, not a curated record. Lineage: Eukaryota; Metazoa; Chordata; Actinopteri; Cypriniformes; Xenocyprididae.